UCUUGUACAACCCGCCCGUCACACCAUGGGAGUGGGUUGCACCAGAAGUAGCUAGUCUAACCUUCGGGAGGACGGUUACCACGGUGUGAUUCAUGACUGGGGUGAAGUCGUAACAAGGUAGCCGUAGGGGAACCUGCGGCUGGAUCACCUCCUU
This 154-nucleotide ribosomal RNA is filed under the name Pseudomonas fluorescens. RNAcentral's name for it is "partial 16S ribosomal RNA". It matches the Rfam family "Bacterial small subunit ribosomal RNA", at positions 1379 to 1532 of the family's 1533-position model. The record is from RNAcentral. Lineage: Bacteria; Pseudomonadati; Pseudomonadota; Gammaproteobacteria; Pseudomonadales; Pseudomonadaceae.